Molecule: ribosomal RNA, 472 nt
Filed under: uncultured bacterium
Lineage: Bacteria
Description: partial 16S ribosomal RNA
Rfam family: Bacterial small subunit ribosomal RNA
Source: RNAcentral
GACGAACGCUGGCGGCGUGCUUAACACAUGCAAGUCGAACGCUGAAGCUUGGUGCUUGCACUGGGUGGAUGAGUGGCGAACGGGUGAGUAAUACGUGGGUAACCUGCCCUUGACUCUGGGAUAAGCCUGGGAAACUGGGUCUAAUACUGGAUAUGACAUGCCACUGCAUGGUGGUGUGUGGAAAGGGUUUUACUGGUUUUGGAUGGGCUCACGGCCUAUCAGCUUGUUGGUGGGGUAAUGGCCUACCAAGGCGACGACGGGUAGCCGGCCUGAGAGGGUGACCGGCCACACUGGGACUGAGACACGGCCCAGACUCCUACGGGAGGCAGCAGUGGGGAAUAUUGCACAAUGGGCGGAAGCCUGAUGCAGCGACGCCGCGUGAGGGAUGACGGCCUUCGGGUUGUAAACCUCUUUCAGCACGGAAGAAGCGAGAGUGACGGUACGUGCAGAAGAAGCGCCGGCUAACUACGUG